AUUCUAUCUACAGCUGCUGACGUUUCCAGUUUCCAUGCAGGAAGACAGGUAGGAGGAGAUCAUCUGGCAAAGAGAUUUGCAGAGUGUCGGGUGACCGGCAAAGAGAUCUGCAAAGUGUCAGAUGAAGACGACGGGAGGGGUCGCAGAGGUAACAACGACUGGAGUAUAACAUGCAGGAGAUCAUCAUUUGGCAAAGUUCUGGCAAAGAGAUUUGCAGAGUGUCGGGUGACCGGCAAAGAGAUCUGCAAAGUGUCAGUUGAAGACGACGGGAGGGAUCGCAGAGGAAUUAGUGACUGGAGAAUAGCGUACAGGAGUGGGUGAUCCCUGAAUAGCUGCACUAGGAGGAGAGCUGCGGACACAUGCUCCAAAUGUUGGGACAUAUGCGGUAAAGAUGCCGGCUGUUGGGUUUACGGCAGUCAGAAUACUGACACUGGGAUCCUGACACUCUUCAGAAUCCCGACAUUGGAACUCCGAAUGGGCAAGGAUACCGACGCCGGUAUCCCCACGAUCAUAGGUUUAGGGCUGGGCAAGGGGGUUAGGUUUAGG
Molecule: long non-coding RNA, 546 nt
Organism: Pseudophryne corroboree (corroboree frog)
Lineage: Eukaryota; Metazoa; Chordata; Amphibia; Anura; Myobatrachidae
Exons: 4
Source: RefSeq, a predicted model, not a curated record